Molecule: long non-coding RNA, 3835 nt
Filed under: Callithrix jacchus (white-tufted-ear marmoset)
Lineage: Eukaryota; Metazoa; Chordata; Mammalia; Primates; Cebidae
Description: lncRNA (ENSCJAG00000087301.1)
Source: RNAcentral
GUUCCCUAUUUGGUUCUCAGUCUUGGCUGCACACUGGAUUCCCUGGGGAGCUUUAUACAUUACUGAUCUCUGGGCUCCACCUCAAGAGAUUCUAACUUACUUGGUUUGGGUGUGACCUGGGCUUGGAGAUUUUGGAAGCUCCCUAGAGAGUCAGAAGUGCAGCCAGGGUCAAGAACAACUGUUAGUUUGUGUGUUUUUUUGAAUGCCGGUGUGUCUGAUGAAAGUUCUGAGUGGUCACAGUCCCUCUUUAGAAUCCCAUGGGAGUGGGGGCGAUGCAGAAACCCACUCAGCAGCUCUACAUUUUUCCUCAGUGUUGGGGUCAGAUAGCUGUUUUCUUACUGAAGAACAGAUGCCAUUACUGGAUUGCUUUUAGGGGCCAAGACAUAUGAAAUGCAUAUCUUGGAAUCGAAGAGUCACACUCCCAGGGUGAGAUGCUCUUCUCACUCCCAGGGUGAGAUGCCACACCCCCACACAUGGAAGCACCUGCUCUUUCACAUCCCUCUCCUCUCCCACUUUCCCUCGUUCAUUCCUGUUCUUUCUUUAGAUCUCAGCCUGAUGCUCACUUCCUCCUGGAAGCCUCCUCUGACCACCCACCUCCAGGAUUUGUGGACUUCGGUAUUUCAACGUGGGGGCCUAGGCUCUAUGUGUAGGAUAUUUGGGGUGCUGCAGCUUCAGCAGGCAGCUCUACAGGCAUGCUCCCUGCCCUCUUGAAACCUGCAAUCUGGGGACGGACUCCUGUUCACACCUGACCUAGGCUCUCUCAGAAAUAGUUGAUGAAUCUUAUGAGACCAUCUGAUCUCUGGCUCUCAUCAGUGGUGUGUCAGGGCCGGGCACAGUUGCUCAUGCCUGUAAUCCCAGUGCCUUGGGAGGCUGAAACAGAAGGAUUAAUUGAGACCAGGAGUUUGAGACCAGCCUGGGCGACAUGGCCAGACCCAGUCUCUAAAAAAGCAAAUUUAAUUUUUUAAUAAAGCAAAAACAAAAUUAAAAUUAGAACAAAGAAAUAAAAAACAAAAAACAGUAGGCCAGGAUGAAUCAAGGACGAGACGAGCAGAAGAGAGGCAUGCAGGCAGCGGGGGCCUCGUGGGUCAGCAUGCCCGGAUCACACCAGCCUUGGGAAACUCUAAUGAAGACAGGUGUUACAGGUUACUGAGUCCAGCCUGGUCUUUUCGACGACAUCAGGGCCCGAUAGGAGCAAAUACAGCUCAACUAGUGGAAGCCAAGGGGGACAUCUGUGGGUGUGGAACAAAGCCAAUGAGUAUGGCCACAAGCUUUCUUAACAUCUCGGAGGUCUAUGAUGACGUUUUGUGGUGUUUUCCAUACCACACAACCAAAAUCCUAUUAAACCAAGGAGAAAGCAGAUUCUCGCCUGCGUCCUGAAGAGUGAAUCUGAGCAGAUAUAGGAAUCUUUCUGGGGUGAGUGACAUCUCUCUGGGGUAGUGAUCCACAGGUUUCUUUUGCUGAAUGUUAAGUAACUUCUUGGAGCCUCCAUUUCCUUUGUGUCCUCAACAUCACACAAAAGGAAUGUGGAAGUGUAGGAGCGGGAGGCAGCCAGCCGCUGCAGAGCAGGCACUAAAGCAGCACAAAACAAGACCUUACUGAUGAACCCUGGGUGUCUUGGAGUGGGUCUGUGUGAGAACAGGUAAGCCUGGGAAACUGGAGGCAGGUGUUGAUUUCAGCAUGAGCCAGCUCCUCAGAUGCUUAUGAUCCUGUGAUUAUGAGCUUCUCAUCAGCCACAGACUCCUUUGAAAACCUAUGGCUUCUCUCCCCAUAUGCUACAGUGAACAAUUUAAGGGGAUCUUUGAAUCAUUGCAGGACAAUCAUGGGUCCCUGGUGGUUCCUAGAAAGCAAACCUUACUGUGUGUAGUCCACUGAGGGAACUGAAAUAUGGUAUACAUUGCAAUUAUUCCUGUUAAAGAAGCUCAUAAUAAUAAAAAUCAAGGGUUGGCAAACUUCCUUAAAGGAUCAGAGAGUAAAUAUUUUUUGGUUUUGUGUACCAUACAGUCUGUUGUUGCAACUGCCCAGCCCGUCAUGGCAGUGUGAAGACGGCCACAGGCAACGCAUAAGUGAACGGGCAUGGUUCUGGGUUCCAAUAAAACUUCCCUUUCAAGAGCAGGCAGUGGGCCAAAUCUUGCUCUUGGGCUACAGUUUUCCUACCCCUGAUAAUAGCAUAAUAGUGUUUAGGAACAAACACUCACCAUGAGUCAGGAGCUGAGCUAUGUGUUUAUGUUAUUAUCCACAUUUCACAGAGGAGGAAUCAGUUUCAGAGAGGUUUCAUAGCUUGCCCAAGAUCACACCGCUAGUAACUGAUGGAGCAGAAAUUCUUAUUUCAUUGCUUUGUUCCUAAGAAAUGCAACUAUCUUGCAUGUUCUGCACAUGUACCCCAAAACCUAAAAUGCAAUAAAAAAAGUAUUAUGAAGAUGUGAUGAUAGUGUUAUUAAAUUAUUAUAUCAACUAAUAAUACAUAAUAAGAACAUUUUUUGAGAGCCUUCUCUGUGCUGAGAACUAUGCUAAGUGCCUCAUAUGGUGCUAAUGUCUGAGUGUUGUGUGUCCCUUCAAAAAUUCAUAUGUUUCAAAUCACCACCCCCAAGCUGAGAGUAUUAGGAGGUGAGGACUUUUGGGAGGUUACUCUGUUGUCUUGAUUAGGAUUAGUGCCCUUAUACCAGAGACCCCAGAGAGGACCUCUCCAACUCUGACAUGAAGUUACAGUGAAAAGAUGGCUGUCUACCUGGGACCCCUGAGCAAAUAAACUCAGUCCCAAGGUAGUCUUCCAUUACCUUGACCUUGGAUUUCCCAGCCUCUAGAACUGUGAGAAAUAAAUGUUUGUUAUUAGCCACCCAGUUAUGAUAUUUUGUCAGAGCAGCCCAAAUGGAUGAAGGCAUACACAUUAACACAAAUCAUCCCACCACAACCUGCUAUUGCUGUUAUUACCUCCAUCAGGGAACUGAGGCACAGAGAGGUUAAGCCACUUGCCUUAGGUCACACAGCUGGCAAGUAUGAAGGCAGGAUUCAAACCUACACUGUGCCCCCCUCCAAGUUGCUAUUGUGAAGCCCACACAGGCUGCAAUAAUAUUCCAUUUAUCACCUGAUAGGACUUGGGCCAUGACCAAUAACAGUGUAGCCCUAUAUGAGGAUUCUGGGCUCCCAGCUAGCUGGCAAUACCCCUUUAGUUCCUGGAUCAUGGGCUAGUUCUAGGAGACGACCUUGUGUAGCUGGGGUUUAACCAACUGAUCAGGAAACAUAUAUAUACACCACACACACACACACACACACACACACACACGCACACACACAUAUGGUGCAGUGGUGUGAUCUCAGCUCACUGCAACCUCUACCUCCUGGGUUCUAGCAAUUCUCCUGCCUCAGCCUUCCGAGUAUCUGGGACUGCAGGUGUGUACCACCACACCCAGCUAAUUUUUGCAUUUUUUAGUAGAGAUGGGGGUUUCACCAUAUUGGCCAGGCUUGUCUUAAACUGCUGACCUCAUAAUCUGCCUGUCUUGGUCUCCCAAAAUGCUGGGAUUACAGAUGCGAGCCACCACGCUCGGCCUAGGAAAUAUUUUAAUAUUUACAAAACUGGUAUAACUCUCCUAGCUGUGCUGCUAUAAGGUGAGGGAGGCCUCCUGGGUGGUGGGAUGUGUGGAUGAGCAGAGCAGGAGGCCCGGGCAUCAGGUCCCUAGCGCAGAUGCUAGUAGAGGGGAUCCGAGGCCUGGGACCCCUGAGCAAAUAAACUCAGUCCCUGGGUGUCACCCAACCUGCCCAGGGCCAGGGCCCCCACUCCUCCCAUCUCUCUGCAGAGGCAGCAGCCUGAGUCCUGAGUCAGAGGCUCCCAUAGGAAAAU